AGUGAACGCUGGCGGUAGGCCUAACACAUGCGAGUCGAACGGCAGCACAGUAAGAGCUUGCUCUUACGGUUGGCGAGUGGCGGACGGGUGAGGAAUACAUCGGAAUCUACUUUUUCGUGGGGGAUAACGUAGGGAAACUUACGCUAAUACCGCAUACGACCUACGGGUGAAAGCAGGGGAUCUUCGGACCUUGCGCGAUUGAAUGAGCCGAUGUCGGAUUAGCUAGUUGGCGGGGUAAAGGCCCACCAAGGCGACGAUCCGUAGCUGGUCUGAGAGGAUGAUCAGCCACACUGGAACUGAGACACGGUCCAGACUCCUACGGGAGGCAGCAGUGGGGAAUAUUGGACAAUGGGCGCAAGCCUGAUCCAGCCAUACCGCGUGGGUGAAGAAGGCCUUCGGGUUGUAAAGCCCUUUUGUUGGGAAAGAAAAGCAGCAGGUUAAUACCCCGCUGUUCUGACGGUACCCAAAGAAUAAGCACCGGCUAACUUCGUG
This 492-nucleotide ribosomal RNA is filed under the name uncultured bacterium. Its description in RNAcentral is "partial 16S ribosomal RNA". It matches the Rfam family "Bacterial small subunit ribosomal RNA", at positions 29 to 507 of the family's 1533-position model. The record is from RNAcentral.